GUUAAAAACUAGGUAUAUAGAUAAAAAGAAGAAAUGGUAUGAUUGCCAAUGAGAUAACUCUCCACAAGAGACCAAAUGAAACAGAAAUUAACAAGUAUAGUUUUUGAUGUAUGUUAUGCUGUUGUCGUUACUUUUUGUUUUAAAAUAUGCCAUCUAUUUUAUUUCAGGCAAAUCGAGACCGUUCUAGUAGAAAGGUCAACUAUAUAAGAAACAGUAUAGAUAUUUGACUGUUCCAGCAAUAUUGUAACAGAAUAUAUAGUAUUACAGAUACCAACAUAAAAAUGUUUCAAGCUGCAUCUGUACGUUGUGUGUGAUUACACUUGAACAUUCACAAAUUGAUGUCGAAUGCUUAUAACCUUUAACCUAAAUCAAAACGUGAGUCUGACAUUGACAACCCA
RNAcentral lists this long non-coding RNA (398 nucleotides) under Mytilus galloprovincialis (Mediterranean mussel). The record is from RNAcentral. Lineage: Eukaryota; Metazoa; Mollusca; Bivalvia; Mytilida; Mytilidae.